RNAcentral lists this ribosomal RNA (371 nucleotides) under uncultured bacterium. RNAcentral describes it as "bacterial SSU rRNA". It matches the Rfam family "Bacterial small subunit ribosomal RNA", at positions 527 to 896 of the family's 1533-position model. The record is from RNAcentral.
GUAGGGAGCAAGCGUUGCUCGGAAUUAUUGGGCGUAAAGAGCGCGUAGGCGGUUCGGUAAGUCUGAUGUGAAAUCCCGGAGCUUAACUCUGGAACUGCAUUGGAUACUGCCGAGCUUGAGUGUGGGAGAGGAGAGUGGAAUUCCCAGUGUAGAGGUGAAAUUCGUAGAUAUUGGGAGGAACACCCGUGGCGAAGGCGGCUCUCUGGACCACAACUGACGCUGAGGCGCGAAAGCUAGGGUAGCAAACGGGAUUAGAUACCCCGGUAGUCCUAGCCGUAAACGAUGGGCACUAGGUGUUGGAGGUAUCGACCCCUCCAGUGCCGCAGCUAACGCAUUAAGUGCCCCGCCUGGGGAGUACGGUCGCAAGACUA